Molecule: ribosomal RNA, 505 nt
Filed under: uncultured fungus
Lineage: Eukaryota; Fungi
Description: SSU rRNA
Rfam family: Eukaryotic small subunit ribosomal RNA
Source: RNAcentral
AGCAGCCGCGGUAAUUCCAGCUCCAAUAGCGUAUAUUAAAGUUGUUGCAGUUAAAAAGCUCAUAGUUGAAUUUCGGGAUCAGUUCGCUGGUCGUGCCUCUGGUAUGUACUGGUGUUACUGGUUCCUCCCUUCUGACGAACUGUCAUGUCAUUUAUUUGGUGUGGCAGGGAAUCAGGACUGUUACUUUGAAAAAAUUAGAGUGUUUAAAGCAGGCUCGCGCUUGAAUACAUUAGCAUGGAAUAAUGAAAUAGGACGUUCGAUCCUAUUUUGUUGGUUUCUAGGAUUGACGUAAUGAUUAAUAGGGAUAGUUGGGGGCAUUAGUAUUCAAUUGUCAGAGGUGAAAUUCUUGGAUUUAUUGAAGACUAACUACUGCGAAAGCAUUUGCCAAGGAUGUUUUCAUUAAUCAAGAACGAAAGUUAGGGGAUCGAAGACGAUCAGAUACCGUCGUAGUCUUAACCAUAAACUAUGCUGACUAGGGAUCGGAUGAUGUUAUUUUUUAAUGACU